CCUACGGGUGGCAGCAGUAGGGGAUUUUCGGCAAUGGGGGGAACCCUGACCGAGCAACGCCGCGUGAACGAAGAAGUUAUUCGUAAUGUAAAGUUCUUUUAACAGGGAAGAAAGAGAAAUUUGACGGUACCUGAAGAAUAAGCUCCGGCUAACUACGUGCCAGCAGCAGCGGUAAUACGUAGGGAGCGAUCGUUAUCCGGAAUUAUUGGACGAAAAGGGGGCGUAGAGGGCAUCGAAGGUCGUUGGUAAAAAUGCUGGGCUCAACCCAGGAGUGCAAAAGGUACUGCAAGGCUAGAGUACGAGAGAGGCAAGCGGAAUUACAGGUGUAGCGGUAAAAUGCGUAGAUAUCAGGAAGAACACCAGCGGCGAAGGCGGCUUGCUGGGUCGAGACUGACAUUGAGGCACGAAAGCGUGGGGAGCAAACAGGAUUAGAUACCCGAGUAGUC
RNAcentral lists this ribosomal RNA (446 nucleotides) under uncultured bacterium. RNAcentral's name for it is "partial 16S ribosomal RNA". It matches the Rfam family "Bacterial small subunit ribosomal RNA", at positions 338 to 795 of the family's 1533-position model. The record is from RNAcentral.